AUGGAUGGCCCAGCCUUAAGGGCAGCCUGUCAUAAAGCACAUUGUAACACUAAAAAUAUGAAGCUGCUGGAGGACCAUCCAUACUACACAAUUACAGCACAGUUAAUCCAUUUUAACGACCAUAGUUUGAUCCCAUGGACCUGGCAAUUUGGUUUAAGGGUUUUGAAUUUUCUGCUUGGCCGUCUUAAGAAUCCCUCUUUCUUUCUCAUCACACUAGAGCACUGGUUCCCAACUUUUUUUUUGACCAGGGAUCACUCUCCAAUAUUAGUACCAAAAGGGUUACAAAUCAGUUUUUGGUCAACUUUAGAUUUUGGUUUGGUUAUUUGGGUUGCUGAUUCAGAAAAUUGCAUUGGAUAGACCACAUCAGCUCUAGUUUCUGAUAUUCACAAAUUACAAAUAUACAUAAGCAUAGUUGCAUGAAGACAGAUGCACUACUGAUGGAAAGGGCAGGGACUUUCCCUCAUUUCCCUAAGGUGGAGCUUAUGAUUCUCUUUUCCCAUUUUACCUUCAUAAUAAAUCUUGUGAGUUAGGGUGAGAGAUAGUGACAGGUCCAAGGUCAUUUGGGGAGAGCAAAUUUCCCCUGUCCUAAUUCAAUACCUUAAUACCUUGGCUACAGAAGAAUGGGACUGGGAUGAAGAAAAAGGUGCAAACUGAGAAUGUAAAGGUACUGUAAAUUUUGGCUGAAGCAUUCUUGGCAACGUCUAUCAUGCUGGAAGAAAAAUGCUAGGCGAGAACAACAGCAAUGAUUCCAUGCAGUGAUAGGUGCAGCCCUGCAGCAGUGCAGGUGUUUUCAUGUCACCAGGUGCAAUGCAAGGUCUCUGUGGUCAUUCAUCCUGAGGCAAACAGUCCAUCAUAUUGCAACAUCUUGCUUAUUACUAAGGUGUUACAAACAUUGUACUCACGAGAAUCUGUUUUUAAUGCCUGCUUGACAUGUUCAGUCCUCACCAAAUAUGUGGAUUGUUCCUUAUCUCGAACGAAGAGUUUAGUUUCCUCCAGGCAUUAAUUCAGGCUGAGUGACUAAUUGCCUUGUUGUGCUUACUUUAUGUUAGACAUGGCCAACUUCUACACUGGAGUGUAGGUCUCCACUUGAUGUUGGACUACAACUCUGAGUCAUUCCCAUUAGCCGUGGCAGCUGGGCCCAUAAGAGUUACACAUUCAGUGACCAGUUCUAUGUCCUCAGUGACCUUCGGUGCAUCUACACUAUAGAAUUAAUACAGUUUUACCCCCACUUUAUCUGCCAUGGCUCAGUGCUAUGAAUCAUGGGAUUUCAUAGCAUUGUAGUAUGAUUACCAACACUUUUGGACAGAGAAGCCUAAAGACCUUGCAGUACUAUAACUCCCAUGAUUCUAAGGCACUGAGCCAUGGCAACCAAAGUGGGGUCAAACUGUCUUAGUUUUGGUAUGCCAUCUGUUCCUAGUGAUUUAUUUCUUCCUUCAGAAAGCUCUGAAUGCAGCUUUCACACAAUUUUCUUAAAUUAUAUGUUCAUAUUCAAAUGUUUCUUCCUCAAAUGAAUCUAUUAUCCUUUCAUCUCUUUUAUAUAGCUCUUUGGGUGUAUUGUUUCAUCAUCUCUUUAUUUCUACUUGGUCAUGUAAUAUGUUCCCUGCUCGCCAUAAAGCAUCUCUACUCUUAGUUUAACAUUCCAUUCCCUUUGAUUGCUCAGAUUUUGUUGAUUUUGCCGAUUUCUCAGAUCUUGUUCUUCCUUUUUGUUGUUUGUAUUCAUUGCAGCUUCUCUACUGUCUGGCUAGAGUUAAUGUCUUUUUUUCAUUUUUCCUUGACAGCAUCCUUCCUGGCAUGAGUUCAAACUUCUUCUGGCACAAUUCUAUUUUCCCCAUUAUCCUUAAAUUCCGUAGGGAUGUUCUUCAGAUUAUAUUCCAGCAUGCUGGGUUAUUUAGAGUUCUUUAGCUGUACAUUUUAAUAUUAUUAGUUGAUGAUCUACACAAAAAUCUGCUCCUUGUCUUCUUUCUUCAGAGAGAAUGGAGCUUCUCUACUUCUUCUUCCAGUUAUGUAGUCUAUUUGAUUUCUAUAGUAGCCAUCAGGUGAGGUUUCUGUAUACAGUUGAUCCUUGGGCUUCUUGAAUAAUCACUUUGAGAUGAAGAGCCAGUUGAUCUCCUGCUUGAUUUCUUGAUUCUGAAUUUUCUUACAAUCUUUAAUUCUGUUUCCUAUUUUUGCAUUCCCAAUCUGAUUCCACUAGUAACCUAAUAUUGGCUCCAUGUCCCAUGCUAACCAUCCCCACAAAGUUGUGACAAAAUAGCCUAACACUUAUAUCCACUUAAUAAUAGCCCAAAUGUAUGGAGGAAUGAUGGGGAAAAACUAGUAGAAAACUGUCCUUCAUAAUGUUUGAGCUCGUGGAUGUAUAUAGGAUCACUUGGUUGGAAUAAAGACUUUCCAUCUGCAUCAGUCCAGCUGUGUGUGGAAAACCUGCCAACCAGAAAACACCAGGCAUGUUUGAAUGUUGCACGUGGCAGGUCGCUGCCAUAAUCAAGGGGUUUCUUGGGCUACAGGGACUCCCAGGAAGAAGGCAUAGUUUACCAUGAGCAUGGAAGCCAGCCACCAUUGCUUCACUCCCACCCUAAACAGCAACCACAGUCACCUGGUAAGUUGGACAUCAUGUUCACUUUAAUGUUGUGAAUGCAUUAUGCAACAAACCAUACCUGAGACUUUUAUUCUCACCACAAUACAGUAUGUGAGUCAAGAAAUCUGUAUGUCAUUGUAGAAUGUGUGAACUAUUGCCACCCUCUAAUCUGAUCUCUCUAGAACUCUGUCCUCAUCACAACAAUAUAUCUGGCCUUGCAUGAAGUUCAUUGCCCCGAAAGGCUUGCUCCAAGAAACUAAUUUGGUGAUUUGGUAUUCUUUCAUUCCAGGAAUUGCAAAAUCAAAAAAGUGAAGAUAAACUUGGAAGCCAAAGGUCACCAGACCUUGACCUUGUUGUCCUCAGGUCUUAUUAUUAAAGAUGUCAUGAUAUAGCCUUAGGGAUUUCAACCUGGGUUUCUGUGUGUCAAGUGCAGCACUUAGGCUAGCACACUGUGUUUCUCUCAAAUCAUUGGUUAUAGAAAUGGUACAGAGUACAGUAGAGUCUCACUUAUCCAACAUAAACGGGCCGGCAGAACGUUGGGUAAGCGAAUAUGUUGGAUAAUGAGGAGAGAUUAGGAAAAAGCAUAUUAAACAUCAAAAAAGGUUAUGAUUUUACAAAUUAAGCACCAAAACAUCAUGUUAUACAACAAAUUUGGCAGAAAAAGUAGUUAAUUACACAUUAAUGCUAUGUUGUAAUUACUGUAUUUACAAAUUUAGCACCAAAAUAUCACAAUGCAUUGAAAACAUUGACUACAAAAAUGCGUUGGAUAAUCCAGAACGUUGGAUAAGUGAAACUUUACUGUAUUAGGAAAGAAGUUAGAUAAAGAAUACAAAAUAGCUACCUGGAUUUGAGGAAGUGGAAUAUGGGAAUCCUAGAUUUCAAACUUCUUUUGUCAGGCUAGAAAAUACUUUUACAUGUUUAUGAAGCUGUCCCAUUGUCAAAGCUGGUGCAAAGAGCCCAGCAGGUUCUGCAGUUUCAUAUGUAUUUCAUUUAUUUUUUAAAACCAGCAGCAGCUUCAGGAAUCUGCAACUUGUGGGAAGAAAAGCUAGAUGAUACAAGAAUGGUUGCUUUAGCUAGUCCUCUGUGCUGAUAAAAGCAGUUUGGGUUAUAGGCAAUGUCAAGAAAAUUAAACAUUUGCAUUUUUCAUCCUGCCCAUUCUUGUCAAGGACAUUUUCAGCUUGUAUGGCUAUUUUAUAUUACAAGUGGACCUUUAAUUUUAUUUACUUUUCCCCAGUCUGUGGCCUAAGGAAGCUCACAAGACAGAUUAAAACAAUGUAGUUUAAUGAGGUGACUUAAAGGCACACACACACCAUAUAUGUAAAAGAAGGAGAAAGCUUAUUUUCUGGUGCUCUAGAGGCUGGAUUCUAAUGUUAAGAAAACAGAUUCCAUCUAAAUAUUAGGAAAAACAUGUUUACUGAAAGAGCUAUUUGACAAUGGAAAGACUUUCUCAGAGGGUUGCAGACUCUCCAUCUUUGGAGGUUUUAAAACAAAGUUUGAGUGAACAUCAGGGUUGCUUUAAUUAUAUAUUCUUGUGUAGCAGACAGUGGGCUUGGACAGCCCUUGUCAUCCCUUCUAACUCUAAAUUCUAUCAUUUUAAAUUUUGAAGGAGCCAACUGCUGCAAAAAUAGAGAAAGUAACCCAGCUGUGCUCCAGAGGGUUGAAUCUGGUUUAAUGGUUUGAAGUUACAGGACAACAGAUUUCAUUAGAACAGUGAUGGGCCGCCACACUACAACAAAUGUUUCAUCCUCGGCUGCUGCACCUGGCUGUGCAGGAGCCAAGGAUGAAAGGUUCUUCUUGGCAUGCGGCCGCAUGUCAGAAAAAAUGGCUAGGCACAUCAGUGCUGACACGCGUUUCAUAGGUUUGCCAUCACUGCAUUAGAAGGUACUUCUUGGCAAUAAGGGCAGUUCAGCUAAUGGAUGAGAAAUUCCCUCCUGGGCACACAGAAGACUGGGCGACUUAGAAAAUGCUGACCUGACUGUGCUCUGGCACCAUGAGAUGCAGAGCCAGUCUUAAGAAAUUGGGUCCACAACUUGCAAGUGUGGAGAAGAGCAAACCACAGACCACUUACUACAAUGCGG
RNAcentral lists this long non-coding RNA (4650 nucleotides) under Anolis carolinensis (green anole). RNAcentral describes it as "lncRNA (ENSACAG00000038478.1)". The record is from RNAcentral. Lineage: Eukaryota; Metazoa; Chordata; Lepidosauria; Squamata; Anolidae.